This 386-nucleotide ribosomal RNA is filed under the name uncultured bacterium. RNAcentral describes it as "bacterial SSU rRNA". It matches the Rfam family "Bacterial small subunit ribosomal RNA", at positions 30 to 414 of the family's 1533-position model. The record is from RNAcentral.
AUUGAACGCUGGCGGCAUGCCUUACACAUGCAAGUCGAACGGCAGCACGGGAGCUUGCUCCUGGUGGCGAGUGGCGAACGGGUGAGUAAUACAUCGGAACGUACCCUGAAGUGGGGGAUAACGCAGCGAAAGUUGUGCUAAUACCGCAUACGAUCUGUGGAUGAAAGCGGGGGAUCGCAAGACCUCGCGCGAUUGGAGCGGCCGAUAUCAGAUUAGCUAGUUGGUGGGGUAAAGGCCCACCAAGGCGACGAUCUGUAGCUGGUCUGAGAGGACGACCAGCCACACUGGAACUGAGACACGGUCCAGACUCCUACGGGAGGCAGCAGUGGGGAAUUUUGGACAAUGGGCGCAAGCCUGAUCCAGCCAUGCCGCGUGAGUGAAGAAGG